RNAcentral lists this long non-coding RNA (1445 nucleotides) under Mus musculus (house mouse). RNAcentral describes it as "predicted gene, 32063". Lineage: Eukaryota; Metazoa; Chordata; Mammalia; Rodentia; Muridae. The record is from RNAcentral.
AGGAGGGCUUCAGGGAUUCAGCGGAGGAGACUGAAAGCCUGAGAGACGAUGCCUCUGAGAAGGUUACAGACCUUGGGAGAAAGCGCUUUCACCUCCUCACCACAGACACUCUCGACUGUGGACUCAGGACACUAAGCCAGAAAGUACAUCUGAUAUGUGAUUCCCGAGAAAGGGCCAUCAUAUUCCAAGGGAUCGGGACCCACAGCGUGAGAAGCCCUGAACUAGAGAUCCGCCUAAACUGAGAAACAACCUAGCACCUAUCCCAGCCCAUCAAUGUUGUAUAUGGCAACAGAUUCAAAAGCCCAGACUAAAACAUACUCACCAUCCAUGUUACCAGCUCUCACCAUGGGGCAGCAAUGUGGAUUUAGUAAGCAUAGCCCACGGGCACUCAUUUUGAAGACACUAGGAGAACUUCAAAGCCAGACUGUUGUCACCCCGUGUGUCAUGGAGACCCUGUAGUUUUGGAUCUGCAGGACUGGCUUCUUCACGUACUCCAGCAGUUCAUUGAUGGGAUAGACGUGGGGUGGGCUAACUCAAAGCCCUGGAUCUGGGCCUGAGAGGUGUCUGAGCUGCUCAGCCCACCAGCUCUCCAGUUCUUGUGGCCUUUGGAUUGGCUCGCCAGCAACCCCCUCUCCCAGGGCUAGCUCUCCUGGCUGACCAGGUCGGUCCUUAUAUUUGCUUUAGGAACCUGACAAGACUGACUAGCCAUCUCUAGCAUUCAGAUAGGUGGAACUUCAUUGUGCUGAAGUUAUGUUUGAGCACCCUCUGCUGGACAAAUCAGAUGCUCUAUGACUACCAACAAUGUACCAGUGGUAUUCGUCUCUUGCAGAUCUGGAAGAAAAUGAAAUUUAGUGUUUUGUCUGUUACACGCUCUGUAACUCCAGUUGCAGAAAAUGUAAAACUUUUCUGCCCCCUCCCCCUCCGGCAACCGGGCACAGACAUUUACGGGAGGCUGUGGCUACUUUAGGAGAUGUGAGCGAGCAGUCUCCUUCCUGCUGCUGCAGCUGCAAGCUGCUCCUGCCGCCCAUGCCUUCUCUACUGCCAUGCCUUCCCUACCACAAGGGCCAGAACUCUCACACUGAAAGCCAGAAUAAAUCCUUCCUCUCUUCGGUUGGUUGUUGUCAGGAGAAGGCAGCAGCUGGCAUCAAUGGUGUGGUGAGGAGAGAAUCAAGUUUCCUUCUCCAGUUCAAACAGACGAAAGUGAAGCGACAUAGGCUCAAGGACAGGGUCACUGGGCUAGCGCCACACCAUGGAGCCAAACCCCGAGCCUUCUAAAUUGUGAGCUGGGCAUGGUGGUUCACCCCAGGAAUCGCAGCACUGAGGGAUGAAGGCGAGAGAGUCACUGUGGGUGUGACAUCAGUCUGGCCUGAAGUCUGAGACUGUUUUUUUAAAAAGAAAACAUUUUUUUAUGUCAUAUAUUUAAUUAUAUAAAGAUUCUGUUGUUU